CAAAAUGAUGACAAAGAGCUAUUGCUCGAAUAAUCCCAGCUCUUCGAAUGCCUCGUCUAAAUUCAACGCUAGAGGCAAUAAUGAGAAGAUGUCCCUGUCUGAAUGU
RNAcentral lists this small nucleolar RNA (106 nucleotides) under Verruconis gallopava. RNAcentral describes it as "Ochroconis gallopava A. fumigatus snoRNA Afu_304". It matches the Rfam family "A. fumigatus snoRNA Afu_304". Lineage: Eukaryota; Fungi; Ascomycota; Dothideomycetes; Venturiales; Sympoventuriaceae. The record is from Rfam by way of RNAcentral.